CAAAGGCAUGGUCCCGACCUUAUUAUCAGCCCUAACUCAACUUACACAUGCAAGUCUCCGCAACCCAGUGAAUAUGCCCUCAAUCCCCCCACCCGGGGACGAGGAGCGGGCAUCAGGCACAAACAUUAGCCCAAGACGCCUAGCCAAGCCACACCCCCAAGGGAAUUCAGCAGUGAUAAACAUUAAGCCAUAAGUGAAAACUUGACUCAGUUAGCGUUAAGAGGGCCGGUAAAACUCGUGCCAGCCACCGCGGUUAGACGAGAGGCCCUAGUUGAUAUUAUAACGGCGUAAAGGGUGGUUAAGGAUAAACAAAAAUAAAGUCAAAUGGCCCCUUGGCCGUCAUACGCUUCUAGGAGUCCGAAGCCCUAAUACGAAAGUAACUUUAAUAAACCUACCUGACCCCACGAAAGCUGAGAAACAAACUGGGAUUAGAUACCCCACUAUGCUCAGCCGUAAACUUAGACAUCCAGCUACAAUAGAUGUCCGCCAGGGUACUACGAGCAUUAGCUUAAAACCCAAAGGACCUGACGGUGUCUCAGACCCCCCUAGAGGAGCCUGUUCUAGAACCGAUAACCCCCGUUCAACCUCACCACUUCUAGCCACCCCAGCCUAUAUACCGCCGUCGUCAGCUUACCCUGUGAAGGUAAUAAAAGUAAGCAAAAUGGGCACAACCCAAAACGUCAGGUCGAGGUGUAGCGCAUGAAGUGGGAAGAAAUGGGCUACAUUUUCUAAUAUAGAAUAUUACGAACAUGCACCAUGAAACAAUGCUUGAAGGAGGAUUUAGUAGUAAAAGGGAAAUAGAGUGUCCCUUUGAACCCGGCUCUGAGACGCGUACACACCGCCCGUCACUCUCCCCUGUCAAAACGCACCAAAAAUACAUAAUACAACAGCACUGACAAGGGGAGGCAAGUCGUAACACGGUAAGUGUACCGGAAGGUGCACUUGGAUCAAACC
This 954-nucleotide non-coding RNA is filed under the name Cyprinus carpio (common carp). RNAcentral's name for it is "12S rRNA". It matches the Rfam family "Bacterial small subunit ribosomal RNA". Lineage: Eukaryota; Metazoa; Chordata; Actinopteri; Cypriniformes; Cyprinidae. The record is from RNAcentral. RNAcentral also lists the same sequence under 1 other name.